GAAACAAAAAGGAGUUUUAGUAGACAGUAUUAUACUACAUUUGAAAAUCAAGGAGCAGUUUAUGCAACGUAAAAUGUUUACAAACUGCAGCGCAAUCUACUGUUUGUGACUGUCAAAGUGUCAUGAGGAAAGUGUCUAUACAAUCACAGAGUUAUAUUUCCUCACAAAGUUCUUUACGAAGAGUGAAAUAUGUUUUUAUACCUCUCAGUUUCAGUUAGAGGCAUAUUUUGUGUAAUAUUUAUGGCUUAAAAUGGACUAAAGGUCCUGUUCUUGCCUUUUCUGAACUUGCCGCUUUUGCAUUCUUUGAGUUCAGUUUAAAGACACUUACUUUAACUCCAUUUUAAACCCUCGGGCUAGAAAUCGUACCACUGUUAAUUAGCCACGUUAUUUGGUCUAACAGUUUUUGUUUAUCAUUCUGAAACUGAGCUUAUCUAAUACAUUGAUAAAUUAUUUCAAAGGUAUUUUUAUAGUUCAAAUCGCUUCACUUUUACCCUGACACGUAUAAAUGAAUAGGAAUGACCUUCAGAUAGCGUUUAGCAACUGUAACCAAUCUGACAAUAAUGUGUUCAUCAGGUACCUGUGGAUUAAAUCACAUACUGGCAUAUUUAAGAUGAAUGUCAGUCUGAAAAAUAAAUAUACUAUAUUAAUUCAAAUACGACUCUUUGUGUAGGUAUUUUGUCAUAUGUUUAAGAAAAAGCUAAAGAGAAUGGAAAUCCUAUGACAAUAACUCAAGUCUUUCUUCAAAGUGCAUGCAGUCUUUUGCAGUACCUCAUUCAGCCAAGUAUUUGUUCUCUACCUCAUUCAGUAUAAGGCAGCCUUUAAUUUGCUUAGAAGGCAACAUUAGAAGGUUAGAGUUCAGCAGGAACAUAGAAUUUUAAAAUGUGACUUCAACUGAAUAAAUUUGAAUUUCUGUAGGGAGUAAAGAAUCAAAACACCUAUUUAAAGACUGCAAAAUAUGAUAAUUAUUUUUAAAGUAAUUGAUUAAACCUGGUAGGUUUUCCCAAAAUGAAAAACAAUCAGUUCUAAAACCAAAGCUGAUUUUUAGAAAAUGUGAAAAUGUAAAUCAACCCUAUCCAUAAUAGAUUCUCUAAAACUUUAUCUUACAGUCACUUUCAAAUAACUAUUCAAAAAUGUAACUGCUAUAUUAACGUCUUAAAAUAAUUUAAAACAUUUUAAAAUAUGAAUACUGUAGUUUAAAACAAAGAAUCUAGGGGAAGGAAAAGUAGACAAAGAAAUGCCAAUUCCAGUCCAAAGCUGUAUUUGCCAAGUUUUCUUAGAAUGACUUUUACCGAUUUAUGAAUUCUUAUACACAGAAUGCAUAAUGGAAAUACUGAUUUUUGUCUAAAGUGGCAUUAUUGACUGCUGCUGUGAUGCUACUGUAAUGUAAUACAUUAUUAAAUUGUUUCAAGGUGCUGUUUUGCCUAAAAAUUUUGUGUGUCUUGAAAACUAUAGUAUUGGGUAUUGAGACUCUGCAAAUUCUCGGCAUGCUUGGCAUGAGGUAAUCGGUUUUUAUUCUUACAAAAUUGUAACUAUGUAAGUGUGUUUAUUAAAAGAACACAAACUAAAAAAGUUAACAGGAAUUAAAGUUGUGGGAUGAAAAAGUUACAGGAUAAAAAAAUACUGUGGAAAAGUGGC
This 1635-nucleotide long non-coding RNA is filed under the name Homo sapiens (human). Its description in RNAcentral is "non-protein coding lnc-WDR73-17:1". Lineage: Eukaryota; Metazoa; Chordata; Mammalia; Primates; Hominidae. The record is from RNAcentral.